This 492-nucleotide ribosomal RNA is filed under the name uncultured bacterium. Its description in RNAcentral is "partial 16S ribosomal RNA". It matches the Rfam family "Bacterial small subunit ribosomal RNA", at positions 29 to 507 of the family's 1533-position model. The record is from RNAcentral.
AGUGAACGCUGGCGGUAGGCCCAACACAUGCAAGUCGAACGGCAGCACAGUAAGAGCUUGCUCUUACGGGUGGCGAGUGGCGGACGGGUGAGGAAUACAUCGGAAUCUACUUUUUCGUGGGGGAUAACGUAGGGAAACUUACGCUAAUACCGCAUACGACCUACGGGUGAAAGCAGGGGAUCUUCGGACCUUGCGCGAUUGAAUGAGCCGAUGUCGGAUUAGCUAGUUGGCGGGGUAAAGGCCCACCAAGGCGACGAUCCGUAGCUGGUCUGAGAGGAUGAUCAGCCACACUGGAACUGAGACACGGUCCAGACUCCUACGGGAGGCAGCAGUGGGGAAUAUUGGACAAUGGGCGCAAGCCUGAUCCAGCCAUACCGCGUGGGUGAAGAAGGCCUUCGGGUUGUAAAGCCCUUUUGUUGGGAAAGAAAAGCAGCAGGUUAAUACCCCGCUGCUCUGACGGUACCCAAAGAAUAAGCACCGGCUAACUUCGUG